Molecule: ribosomal RNA, 414 nt
Filed under: uncultured bacterium
Lineage: Bacteria
Description: bacterial SSU rRNA
Rfam family: Bacterial small subunit ribosomal RNA
Source: RNAcentral
UAAUGGUCAAUGGGCGCGAGCCUGAACCACCCAAGAAGCGUGAAGGAUGACCGCCCUAUGGGUUGUAAACCUCUUUUAUAUGGGAAUANNGUGCAGUAUGUAUACUGCUUUGCAUGUACCUUAUGAAUAAGGAUCGGCUAACUCCGUGCCAGCAGCCGCGGUAAUACGGAGGAUCCGAGCGUUAUCCGGAUUUAUUGGGUUUAAAGGGAGCGUAGGCGGGUUGUUAAGUCAGUUGUGAAAGUUUGCGGCUCAACCGUAAAAUUGCAGUUGAUACUGGCAUCCUUGAGUACAGUAGAGGUAGGCGGAAUUCGUGGUGUAGCGGUGAAAUGCUUAGAUAUCACGAAGAACUCCGAUUGCGAAGGCAGCCUGCUGGACUGUAACUGACGCUGAUGCUCGAAAGUGUGGGUAUCAAAC